Cyprinodon tularosa is the source of this 301-nucleotide long non-coding RNA. RefSeq lists it as uncharacterized. The transcript is spliced from 3 exons. The record is from RefSeq and is a predicted model, not a curated record. Lineage: Eukaryota; Metazoa; Chordata; Actinopteri; Cyprinodontiformes; Cyprinodontidae.
AUUAUAGGGCCAAGCAUGAGCGUGAAAUCCAUGAUACACCCAUGAUGAACUCAGCUUCCAGGAAGCAGAUGCUUGAUGAGGCUGUGCUUAAUUUCAUUGUAAAGGACUGCCAGCCCCUCGCUGUUGUGGAGAAUGAAGGCUUCAGGGAGCUGGUUCAGCUCCUUGAGCCCUCAUAUGUUUUGCCAACUAGAAAGACCAUCAAACAACUGUUGGCCAAAAAGUACGAGGAGGAACGGGAACGAGUGAAAAUGGAAGUACAGCAGACUGCGGACAGAAUGUGCCUCAAUAGUUGGAAGCUCAA